RNAcentral lists this ribosomal RNA (490 nucleotides) under uncultured bacterium. Its description in RNAcentral is "bacterial SSU rRNA". It matches the Rfam family "Bacterial small subunit ribosomal RNA", at positions 501 to 990 of the family's 1533-position model. The record is from RNAcentral.
CUACGUGCCAGCAGCCGCGGUAAUACGUAGGUCCCGAGCGUUGUCCGGAUUUAUUGGGCGUAAAGCGAGCGCAGGCGGUUAGAUAAGUYUGAAGUUAAAGGCUGUGGCUUAACCAUAGUACGCUUUGGAAACUGUUUAACUUGAGUGCAGAAGGGGAGAGUGGAAUUCCAUGUGUAGCGGUGAAAUGCGUAGAUAUAUGGAGGAACACCGGUGGCGAAAGCGGCUCUCUGGUCUGUAACUGACGCUGAGGCUCGAAAGCGUGGGGAGCGAACAGGAUUAGAUACCCUGGUAGUCCACGCCGUAAACGAUGAGUGCUAGGUGUUAGACCCUUUCCGGGGUUUAGUGCCGCAGCUAACGCAUUAAGCACUCCGCCUGGGGAGUACGACCGCAAGGUUGAAACUCAAAGGAAUUGACGGGGGCCCGCACAAGCGGUGGAGCAUGUGGUUUAAUUCGAAGCAACGCGAAGAACCUUACCAGGUCUUGACAUCCC